AAGUCGUAACAAGGUUUCCGUAGGUGAACCUGCGGAAGGAUCAUUAACACGUAUCCAAACGUUAAACCCCCCUGUGAACCUUCACCUGUACUCGUACGUCCGUUAGAAAAAGCAGCAAUCCCUGGUAAAUCAUCGCCGAACAGUUUUCGAUUCAGGGAUGUCUGCAAGGAGCGUGCAUGUUGUGCGAGCAAGUGGCCUGGCAUCCCCAAGCAGUUAGUGUCUGAAAGUGUCAUUAACUGUGUAAGGAUGACGCAGUCACGAUCGUUGGAGGCCCACACGGCCGACGACCCUAUAACAAACGCUGCUAAUCGCGGCCGCGAUAAUACGCAGUCGACCAAAAACCGAACAACUGUUAACAAUGGAUAUCUUGGUUCUC
Molecule: unclassified non-coding RNA, 376 nt
Filed under: fungal sp.
Lineage: Eukaryota; Fungi
Description: partial internal transcribed spacer region
Rfam family: Eukaryotic small subunit ribosomal RNA (bases 1-46)
Source: RNAcentral